GACGAAGGAUCCAAGCGUUAUCCGGAUUCAUUGGGUUUAAAGGGUGCGUAGGCGGCCUUGUAAGUCAGUGGUGAAAUCUCCUCGCUUAACGAGGAAACUGCCAUUGAUACUGCUAGGCUUGAGUACAGAUGCUGUGGGCGGAAUAUGACAUGUAGUGGUGAAAUACAUAGAGAUGUCAUAGAACACCGAUUGCGAAGGCAGCUCACAAAACUGUAACUGACGCUGAGGCACGAAAGUGCGGGGAUCAAACAGG
Molecule: ribosomal RNA, 253 nt
Filed under: uncultured bacterium
Lineage: Bacteria
Description: partial 16S ribosomal RNA
Rfam family: Bacterial small subunit ribosomal RNA
Source: RNAcentral